This 72-nucleotide transfer RNA is filed under the name Camelus bactrianus (Bactrian camel). It matches the Rfam family "tRNA". Rfam says of the family: Transfer RNA (tRNA) molecules are approximately 80 nucleotides in length. Their secondary structure includes four short double-helical elements and three loops (D, anti-codon, and T loops). Lineage: Eukaryota; Metazoa; Chordata; Mammalia; Artiodactyla; Camelidae. The record is from Rfam by way of RNAcentral. RNAcentral also lists the same sequence under 1 other name.
GGGGGUAUAGCUCAGUGGCAGAGUGCAGGCUCAGCACGCAUGAGGUCCUGGGUACAAUUCUUAGUACUUCCA